GACGAACGCUGGCGGCGUGCUUAACACAUGCCAGUCGAACGGUGAAGCGCCUUCCUUUUUGGUGGGUGUGGAUGAGUGGCGAACGGGUGAGUAACACGUGAGUAACCUGCCCCCUUCUUCUGGAUAACCGCAUGAAAGUGUGGCUAAUACGGGAUAUUCUGGGUCUGUCGCAUGAUGGGUCUGGGAAAGAUAUUGUUUCGGUGGGGGAUGGGCUCGCGGCCUAUCAGCUUGUUGGUGGGGUGAUGGCCUACCAAGGCGGUGACGGGUAGCCGGCCUGAGAGGGUGGACGGUCACUGGGACUGAGACACGGCCCAGACUCCUACGGGAGGCAGCAGUGGGGAAUAUUGCACAAUGGGCGCAAGCCUGAUGCAGCGACGCCGCGUGAGGGAUGGAGGCCUUCGGGUUGUGAACCUCUUUCGCCAGUGAAGCAGGCCUGCCUCGUUUGUGGGUGGGUUGACGGUAGCUGGAUAAGAAGCGCCGGCUAACUACGUG
Molecule: ribosomal RNA, 492 nt
Filed under: uncultured bacterium
Lineage: Bacteria
Description: partial 16S ribosomal RNA
Rfam family: Bacterial small subunit ribosomal RNA
Source: RNAcentral